Molecule: ribosomal RNA, 459 nt
Filed under: uncultured bacterium
Lineage: Bacteria
Description: bacterial SSU rRNA
Rfam family: Bacterial small subunit ribosomal RNA
Source: RNAcentral
AAUUCGCCCUUAGAGUUUGAUCAUGGCUCAGAGUGAACGCUGGCGGCGUGCUUAACACAUGCAAGUCGAGGGGCAGCAGCACAUCUCUUCGGAGAUGUGGCUGGCGACCGGCGGACGGGUGCGUAACACGUAGCUACUUGCCCUCCAGAGGGGGAUAACCCGCCGAAAGGCGGGCUAAUACCGCAUACACCCGAGAGGGGAAAGGACUUCGGUCCGCUGGAGGAUAGGGCUGCGGCGUAUCAGGUAGUUGGUGGGGUAACGGCCUACCAAGCCGAUGACGCGUAGCUGGUCUGAGAGGAUGAUCAGCUACACUGGAACUGAGACACGGUCCAGACUCCUACGGGAGGCAGCAGUGGGGAAUCUUGGGCAAUGGGCGAAAGCCUGACCCAGCAACGCCGCGUGGAGGAAGAAGCCCUUCGGGGUGUAAACUCCUUUUGCAGGGGAAGAGCGAGACGGUAG